GAUGAAGAACGCAGUGAAAUGCGAUCAGUAAUGUGAAUUGCAGAAUUCAGUGAAUCAUCGAAUCUUUGAACGCACAUUGCGCCCGCCAGCACUCUGGCGGGCAUGCCUGUUCGAGCGUCAUUUCAACCAUCAAGCCCCCAGGGGCUUGUGCUGGGGCCCUGCGGCUGCCCGCAGGCCCUGAAAACCAGUGGCGGGCUCGCUAGUCACACCGAGCGCAGUAGCACAUCUCGCUCAGGGCGUGCGGCGGGCUCCUGCCGUGAAACCCCCCACUGUAACCCCAAAGGUUGACCUCGGAUCAGGUAGGAAUACCCGCUGAACUUAAGCAUAUCAAUAAGCGGAGGA
RNAcentral lists this unclassified non-coding RNA (342 nucleotides) under soil metagenome. RNAcentral describes it as "partial contains 5.8S ribosomal RNA, internal transcribed spacer 2, and large subunit ribosomal RNA". The stretch from base 1 to 120 matches the Rfam family "5.8S ribosomal RNA", at positions 35 to 154 of the family's 154-position model. The record is from RNAcentral.